GUGCCAGCCGCCGCGGUAAUACGGGGGGUGCAAGCGUUGUUCGGAAUCAUUGGGCGUAAAGCGCGCGCAGGCGGCUUGGUAAGUCAGAUGUGAAAUCCCUGGGCUUAACCCAGGAAGUGCAUUUGAUACUGCCUCGCUAGAGUACGGGAGAGGAAAGUGGAAUUCCUGGUGUAGAGGUGAAAUUCGUAGAUAUCAGGAGGAACACCGGUGGCGAAGGCGACUUUCUGGCCCGAUACUGACGCUCAGGCGCGAAAGCGUGGGGAGCAAACAGGAUUAGAUACCCUUGUAGUCC
This 292-nucleotide ribosomal RNA is filed under the name uncultured bacterium. RNAcentral describes it as "partial 16S ribosomal RNA". It matches the Rfam family "Bacterial small subunit ribosomal RNA", at positions 505 to 796 of the family's 1533-position model. The record is from RNAcentral.